CCAGACUCCUACGGGAGGCAGCAGUGGGGAAUAUUGGACAAUGGGGGGAACCCUGAUCCAGCGACGCCGCGUGAGUGAAGAAGUAUUUCGGUAUGUAAAGCUCUAUCAGCAUUUAAGAAAGAAAUGACGGUACCUUACUCAUAAGCCCCUUCUAACUACGUGCCAGCAUCCGCGGUAAUCCUUAGGGGGCAAGCUUUAUCCGGAUUCACUUUGUGUAAAGGGAGCGUAGACGGCGACGCAAGUCUGGAGUGAAAGCCCGGGGGCCAACCCCGGGACUGCUCUGGAAACUGCGGCGCUGGAGUACGGGAGGGGUAGGCGGAAUUCCUGGUGUAGCGGUGAAAUGCGUAGAUAUAAGGAGGAACACCGGCGGCGAAGGCGGCCUGCUGGACCGUGACUGACGUUGAGGCUCGAGAGCGUGGGGAGCAAACAGGAUUAGAUACCCUAGUAUAA
This 450-nucleotide ribosomal RNA is filed under the name uncultured bacterium. RNAcentral describes it as "bacterial SSU rRNA". It matches the Rfam family "Bacterial small subunit ribosomal RNA", at positions 331 to 793 of the family's 1533-position model. The record is from RNAcentral.